GAUGAAGAACGUAGCGAAAUGCGAUAAGUAAUGUGAAUUGCAGAAUUCAGUGAAUCAUCGAAUCUUUGAACGCACAUUGCGCCCUCUGGUAUUCCGGGGGGCAUGCCUGUUCGAGCGUCAUUAUAACCACUCAAGCUCUCGCUUGGUAUUGGGGUUCGCGGUUUCGCGGCCCCUAAAAUCAGUGGCGGUGCCUGUCGGCUCUACGCGUAGUAAUACUUCUCGCGAUUGAGUUCGAUAGGUCUACUUGCCAGUAACCCCCAAUUUUUACAGGUUGACCUCGGAUCAGGUAGGGAUACCCGCUGAACUUAAGCACAUCAAUAAGCGGAGGA
RNAcentral lists this unclassified non-coding RNA (329 nucleotides) under soil metagenome. RNAcentral's name for it is "partial contains 5.8S ribosomal RNA, internal transcribed spacer 2, and large subunit ribosomal RNA". The stretch from base 1 to 120 matches the Rfam family "5.8S ribosomal RNA", at positions 35 to 154 of the family's 154-position model. The record is from RNAcentral.